Molecule: transfer RNA, 71 nt
Filed under: Carcharhinus macloti (hardnose shark)
Lineage: Eukaryota; Metazoa; Chordata; Chondrichthyes; Carcharhiniformes; Carcharhinidae
Description: tRNA-Trp
Rfam family: tRNA
About the family: Transfer RNA (tRNA) molecules are approximately 80 nucleotides in length. Their secondary structure includes four short double-helical elements and three loops (D, anti-codon, and T loops). Further hydrogen bonds mediate the characteristic L-shaped molecular structure. tRNAs have two regions of fundamental functional importance: the anti-codon, which is responsible for specific mRNA codon recognition, and the 3' end, to which the tRNAs corresponding amino acid is attached (by aminoacyl-tRNA synthetases). tRNAs cope with the degeneracy of the genetic code in two manners: having more than one tRNA (with a specific anti-codon) for a particular amino acid; and 'wobble' base-pairing, i.e. permitting non-standard base-pairing at the 3rd anti-codon position.
Source: RNAcentral
AGAAAUUUAGGUUAACAUCAGACCAAAAGCCUUCAAAGCUUUAAGUAGAAGUGAAAAUCCUCUAAUUUCUG